Molecule: long non-coding RNA, 917 nt
Organism: Piliocolobus tephrosceles (Ugandan red Colobus)
Lineage: Eukaryota; Metazoa; Chordata; Mammalia; Primates; Cercopithecidae
Exons: 3
Source: RefSeq, a predicted model, not a curated record
CCCCAGGGCCGGAAUGAGUGAUUUUUCUUAGAAGCAGAGUUGGAGCCACCGAGGAAGCACAGGCUCCAGUUGUGGUGGGUUGUGUCAUCCCACGAUAUCGCUGUUGCUGAGUCCCCAUCGCCUCUGUGUUGUGGAGCAGUUAGAGGCACACAGCAGUGUCUGUGAGUGGCUCUGCGUGAAGGACUGUUUUCUAGGUGAGAGGCACAUCUCAGCACAGCUGACUGAUCAGACUCAGCAAUUCCAUUCUGCAUCUGCUCUGGACACCCCAGGACCACCAGGACAACCCCAUCAGGGCCCUGUCACCAGGUCCAGUCUGGCUCCAUGAUACCAAGACGCAGGUCCAGAGACAACCGCCCUGCAUGGUGCCUGCAUCUGACCCCCCUUGGUGGGUAGUGAUGAGCAAACAUGGAAGAAGCCAGGGCAGCACACGGACAGCUGCCCUGCAGCCCCAGAUGGCACCUGGCCCUUGGGACGUCAUUCUCAAAGGGGAAGCUGGAAACUUUGAUGUACCUGGAGGGAAGGGUAAACGUGGCCUCCCAACAACCCUAGCAGCCAGCAGCAUGCCAUACAUCUUCUCACCCAACCUGUGGGACAGAGGCCCCCUCCUGGGGAACAAGAUCCAUAUCUAAAGGGUCUUGACCCAGUCGGGCCUCAUCCUGGGCCCUGGGAGGGGAGAGGCACUGUGGGCCUCCAGCAGCAGCCAGGAUUACCACCCAGGGGACUCAGCCUUCUGUGGCCCUGGCCAGACUUAGAAUUUGGCACAAGACAGGACAAGCUCACUCAGCGCAGCUUGUUAAUACCCAGGGCCUGUGCAUGCCAGGCAAGGCCAAGCUGACUCAAAGAGCAACCAGCCACCUCUGCAAGGGUGUGCCUGGAGCAGGUAGACCAGCCACCAACCUCACCCACUCAAGGAAGCA